This 218-nucleotide long non-coding RNA is filed under the name Brassica napus (rape). RNAcentral describes it as "long non-coding RNA (BNAP_LNC000098)". The record is from RNAcentral. Lineage: Eukaryota; Viridiplantae; Streptophyta; Magnoliopsida; Brassicales; Brassicaceae.
UAUAUUGUGCUGAUUUGACUUAAAAUUAUAUAUUUGAUCUCUUAAAAAAAAGGUUAAUAGAUAAUUGGUCAAAAUUGUUUGUUUAUGCACCUGAUAUGAUAAAGACCGGCUCUAAUCCUAGUUACAAAAUUAAACAUAGUGGUGAAAUAAACAAUGGAAACAGAAACAAAUAAGCAGAACUAUAUUGUAUUACACAAGAAGUUAGUAAUUAGCUGUUU